Molecule: RNA transcript, 1896 nt
Organism: Glossina fuscipes
Lineage: Eukaryota; Metazoa; Arthropoda; Insecta; Diptera; Glossinidae
Exons: 5
Source: RefSeq, a predicted model, not a curated record
UUUGUUUAAGAGUUCUCUCGAUUUAAAGAGACGGUUAUAUAUAAAAGUUGAUUUAGAUAAUGAAGCGUAAAUUUUUAAAAAAUAUUCUUUUAAUACUCUUAAUUUUUAACUUUUCAAUAUCGGAAGCGUUUAUCUAUCGGUUGAUAACAGAAGCAUUAGAAAAUAAUGUGGCUGGAGAACCGAUAACACAUCAAAGAACCACUUGGCAUUUUGAUCCAGAAGUGAGCAAACGACGAAGAGCUUUGUUCUAUGAGACUUCUGGUUUUCGUGCUGCUAAAUUUAUUGAACGUAUUGGUUUAGGCACCGAUGGGCAAGAGGAGAAACGUCGCAUCGAGCAGCAAUUACGUGAUGACGUAAUCCUGAUGUCGGCAAUCUUUACUCGGAGGAACAACAUAUGGAUUCGAAAUAUGGGAAGAAAAUGGGUAACUUUCCAGUAUUUCGCGAAUAUAUUUAUCAAAGUCCAUCAAUGAUACCGUCAAAUUUUUGAAUUUGGGAAAAAGAAAUACACGAAGAAGAUUAACCCUCAUCAAAUUGUAAGCCACUGUUGCUACUGUCGCUAUAUAGAUGUUUGUAAUGAUCUUACAUUUGAGCUGCCGGAAAAUAAAGACUAAACCUGCAAUUUCAAUAGUGAAAAACAAACCUGAUGAUCCAUAUAAAAAGCUCUGUCGGAGAGGGCUGUAAAGGGGCAAGAAAAACUCGCAAAAGAUUAGAGUGAUGUCGUUAUGGAUUCAAAUGGCUGCCCGCUGCUCUUUGGAGAAGAAAUGAUUGGAAUAGUGUCGUUGAAUAGCGGGUCUGGCAGAUAUAUAAGUUCAAAACGAUAGUGACAUAACAUAGUGAGAUAACAUUUAUGUCCAACACUAAGCAAUUGCUUAAGAAAGUAUUUUGAACUGGAUUAGUUACGAUGCAGAGAUACGAGAAGCUCAUAUCUGAGUUUUUAAGAAAUCAGUUUCUUCUGGAACUCUUCUGCAUAUGUGAUCUACAGCGUCAACGUCAUGAUAAUGAGAUGAAAAUAUUUGUCUAAAAAUAAAACUUAGAUUCGGAACAGCAAGCUUCAUGUGCUAUUAGCCAUGAAUGACUAUGGGAACCUCAGCCACAUAAUAAAUGCAACAUGUACGACGUAACCAGUGGAGAAUUGUUUGCGAUAGCGCCAAUGAAAAAGUAUAAUGUGGGUCUGUCCACAGUUCUUUUAACGGUUUUGUACAUUUUUUGGGUGGCGAUACUGACGACAUGGAACUGACCGCAGAAUACUACGAUGCCAUUUUGAACCAAUGGACACAUAUUACUCCAAAGAAGUACGAUCAUUCUUUGUUUGGGGCGUGUUUUUAAGAGGAUGCCUGUAUACGCGAUUGGUGAACGCAACAGUUCGGCUGUGGAAGGCAAUGCAAUCACCAAUAAAUGGUACAAUUGCCUAAACACUUCAUAGCUAUAUUAAAAAGAUAAUCGGGUGAAGGUAUUACAAAUAGUAUUUAUAGAAUGGAAGCGAAAAAUAGACAGUUGAAUGAUCAUUCCGCUUCGGAGGAGCAGCUCCCAUCCGCUACCAAAGUAAAUAAAGUAAGGGAAGCUAUGCCGUUUUAUAAACGAAUUUUCUGGUUUUAAACGAAUUGCUUCACCGCUUCAGACGAGGUUAGGUGGAAGAAGCUACUUGAGCCAGAAAAUAAUAUAUGUCAAUUAUUUGGUACCAUAGAGCGCUGUUAGCGCGCCGCAUAAUUGGAAUUGUGAAAAAAGGGUGCUUAAGUACAAGUGAUAUUUGAACGUUUUAAUAGCACAUAUAUUCAUUUAAUUUUAGAGUUCAUGGCGCUAAUAUGCGACAUCGUAAAGGUAAGGGCGCCUGACCAAAGAAUUUAAAAAAUAUCUUAAUGUGCUUGUCCGCCAGGGUAGUCGAGUACGCAAAGGAUC